This 72-nucleotide transfer RNA is filed under the name Pangasius djambal. RNAcentral's name for it is "tRNA-Glu". It matches the Rfam family "tRNA". From Rfam's summary of the family: Transfer RNA (tRNA) molecules are approximately 80 nucleotides in length. Their secondary structure includes four short double-helical elements and three loops (D, anti-codon, and T loops). Lineage: Eukaryota; Metazoa; Chordata; Actinopteri; Siluriformes; Pangasiidae. The record is from RNAcentral.
UCCCUGGAGGACUAGUGGUUAGGCCCUGGUGCUCUCACUGCCACAACCUGGGUUUGAUUCCUGGCCAGGGAA